This 445-nucleotide ribosomal RNA is filed under the name uncultured bacterium. Its description in RNAcentral is "partial 16S ribosomal RNA". It matches the Rfam family "Bacterial small subunit ribosomal RNA", at positions 354 to 796 of the family's 1533-position model. The record is from RNAcentral.
GUAGGGAAUAUUGGGCAAUGGAGGCAACUCUGACCCAGCCAUGCCGCGUGCAGGAUGACGGCCCUCUGGGUUGUAAACUGCUUUUAUACGGGAAGAAAAAAUACUACGUGUAGUAUACUGACGGUACCGUAAGAAUAAGGAUCGGCUAACUCCGUGCCAGCAGCCGCGGUAAUACGGAGGAUCCAAGCGGUGUCCGGAUUUAUUGGGUUUAAAGGGUGCGUAGGCGGAUCUUUAAGUCAGUGGUGAAAGCCUGCAGCUUAACUGUAGAAUUGCCAUUGAAACUGAAGAUCUUGAAUGUGGUUAAAGUAGGCGGAAUGUAUCAUGUAGCGGUGAAAUGCUUAGAUAUGAUACAGAACACCGAUAGCGAAGGCAGCUUGCUGAACCAUUAUUGACGCUGAGGCACGAAAGCGUGGGGAGCGAACAGGAUUAGAUACCCGGGUAGUCC